Molecule: transfer RNA, 74 nt
Filed under: Ochrobactrum phage vB_OspM_OC
Lineage: Duplodnaviria; Heunggongvirae; Uroviricota; Caudoviricetes; Pantevenvirales; Kyanoviridae
Description: tRNA-Thr
Rfam family: tRNA
About the family: Transfer RNA (tRNA) molecules are approximately 80 nucleotides in length. Their secondary structure includes four short double-helical elements and three loops (D, anti-codon, and T loops). Further hydrogen bonds mediate the characteristic L-shaped molecular structure. tRNAs have two regions of fundamental functional importance: the anti-codon, which is responsible for specific mRNA codon recognition, and the 3' end, to which the tRNAs corresponding amino acid is attached (by aminoacyl-tRNA synthetases). tRNAs cope with the degeneracy of the genetic code in two manners: having more than one tRNA (with a specific anti-codon) for a particular amino acid; and 'wobble' base-pairing, i.e. permitting non-standard base-pairing at the 3rd anti-codon position.
Source: RNAcentral
GCCGAUAUAAUUAAAUGGUAUAAUGUCUGUUUUGUAAUCAGGUUUUCGGGGUUCGAUUCCUCGUAUCGGCACCA